This 544-nucleotide ribosomal RNA is filed under the name uncultured bacterium. Its description in RNAcentral is "partial 16S ribosomal RNA". It matches the Rfam family "Bacterial small subunit ribosomal RNA", at positions 355 to 889 of the family's 1533-position model. The record is from RNAcentral.
UGGGGAAUUUUGGACAAUGGGCGAAAGCCUGAUCCAGCAAUGCCGCGUGUGUGAAGAAGGCCUUCGGGUUGUAAAGCACUUUUGUCCGGAAAGAAAUCCUUGGCUCUAAUACAGUCGGGGGAUGACGGUACCGGAAGAAUAAGCACCAGCUAACUACGUGCCAGCAGCCGCGGUAAUACGUAGGGUGCAAGCGUUAAUCGGAAUUACUGGGCGUAAAGCGUGCGCAGGCGGUUUGCUAAGACCGAUGUGAAAUCCCCGGGCUCAACCUGGGAACUGCAUUGGUGACUGGCAGGCUAGAGUAUGGCAGAGGGGGGUAGAAUUCCACGUGUAGCAGUGAAAUGCGUAGAGAUGUGGAGGAAUACCGAUGGCGAAGGCAGCCCCCUGGGCCAAUACUGACGCUCAUGCACGAAAGCGUGGGGAGCAAAACAGGAUUAGAUACCCUGGUAGUCCACGCCCUAAAACGAUGUCAAACUAGUUGUUGGGGAUUCAUUUCCUUAGUAACGUAGCUAACGCGUGAAGUUGACCGCCUGGGGAGUACGGUCGC